RNAcentral lists this unclassified non-coding RNA (337 nucleotides) under soil metagenome. RNAcentral's name for it is "partial contains 5.8S ribosomal RNA, internal transcribed spacer 2, and large subunit ribosomal RNA". The stretch from base 1 to 120 matches the Rfam family "5.8S ribosomal RNA", at positions 35 to 154 of the family's 154-position model. The record is from RNAcentral.
GAUGAAGAACGCAGCGAAAUGCGAUAAGUAGUGUGAAUUGCAGAAUUCAGUGAAUCAUCGAAUCUUUGAACGCACAUUGCGCCCCUUGGUAUUCCAUGGGGCAUACCUGUUCGAGCGUCAUUUGUACCUUCAAGCUUUGCUUGGUGUUGGGUGUUUGUCUCGCCUUUGCGUGUAGACUCGCCUUAAAACAAUUGGCAGCCGGCGUAUUGAUUUCGGAGCGCAGUACAUCUCGCGCUUUGCACUCAUAACGACGACGUCCAAAAGUACAUUUUUACACUCUUGACCUCGGAUCAGGUAGGGAUACCCGCUGAACUUAAGCAUAUCAAUAAGCGGAGGA